RNAcentral lists this ribosomal RNA (484 nucleotides) under uncultured bacterium. Its description in RNAcentral is "partial 16S ribosomal RNA". It matches the Rfam family "Bacterial small subunit ribosomal RNA", at positions 30 to 507 of the family's 1533-position model. The record is from RNAcentral.
AUUGAACGCUGGCGGCAGGCCUAACACAUGCAAGUCGAGCGGACGAACGGAACGUGCUCCUCUAUGCAGCUGGCGACGGGCGGGUGAGUCAUACGUAUAUACCCUACAUUUGUGGAUAGGGUCCGUACGCGGGCCCUAAUACCGUAUCCGUCCAUAUGUAGAACGGGAGGGAUCAUCGGACCUCACGCUAUUAGCUGACCCUACGAGGGGUUAGCUAGGUGGGUGGGUAAAGGCCUACCAAGGCGACGAUCCAAAGCCGGGCUGCGAGGCUGACCAGCCACACUGGAACCGAGACACGGUCCAGACCCCUACGGGAGGCAGCAGUAGGGAAUUUUUGGCAAUGGGCGGAAGCCUGAACCAGCCAAGCCGCGGGGUGGAAGAAGGGCUUUGGGUUUGAAAACCCUUUUAUGUGGGAAGAAAAGGUAGUAAGUUAAUCCCUCGCUGUUUUGCGGUACCCAACAAAAAAGCCACGGCCAAAUUCGGU